This 1058-nucleotide ribosomal RNA is filed under the name Corollospora luteola. RNAcentral describes it as "SSU rRNA". It matches the Rfam family "Eukaryotic small subunit ribosomal RNA", at positions 19 to 1089 of the family's 1831-position model. The record is from RNAcentral. Lineage: Eukaryota; Fungi; Ascomycota; Sordariomycetes; Microascales; Halosphaeriaceae.
UGUAGUCAUAUGCUUGUCUCAAAGAUUAAGCCAUGCAUGUCUAAGUAUAAGCAAUUAUACCGCGAAACUGCGAAUGGCUCAUUAUAUAAGUUAUCGUUUAUUUGAUAGCACAUUACUACUUGGAUAACCGUGGUAAUUCUAGAGCUAAUACAUGCUGAAAAUCCCGACUUCGGAAGGGAUGUAUUUAUUAGAUUAAAAACCAAUGCCCUCUGGGCUUCUGGGUGAUUCAUGAUAACUUCUCGAAUCGCAUGGCCUUGCGCCGGCGAUGGUUCAUUCAAAUCUCUUCCCUAUCAACUUUCGAUGCGAAGGUCUUGUCUUCGCAUGGUUACAACGGGUAACGGAGGGUUAGGGCUCGACCCCGGAGAAGGAGCCUGAGAAACGGCUACUACAUCCAAGGAAGGCAGCAGGCGCGCAAAUUACCCAAUCCCGACACGGGGAGGUAGUGACAAUAAAUACUGAUACAGGGCUCUUUUGGGUCUUGUAAUUGGAAUGAGUACAAUUUAAAUCCCUUAACGAGGAACAAUUGGAGGGCAAGUCUGGUGCCAGCAGCCGCGGUAAUUCCAGCUCCAAUAGCGUAUAUUAAAGUUGUUGUGGUUAAAAAGCUCGUAGUUGAACCUUGGGCCUGGUUGGCCGGUCCCCCUCACCGGGCGCACUGAUCCAGCCGGGCCUUUCCCUCUACGGAACCCCAUGGCCUUCACUGGUCGUGGCGGGGAAGUAGGACUUUUACUUUGAAAAAAUUAGAGUGCUCCAGGCAGGCCUAUGCUCGAAUACAUUAGCAUGGAAUAAUGGAAUAGGACGCGUGGUUCUAUUUUGUUGGUUUCUAGGACCGCCGUAAUGAUUAAUAGGGACAGUCGGGGGCAUCAGUAUUCAAUUGUCAGAGGUGAAAUUCUUGGAUCUAUUGAAGACUAACUACUGCGAAAGCAUUUGCCAAGGAUGUUUUCAUUGAUAAGGAACGAAAGUUAGGGGAUCGAAGACGAUCAGAUACCGUCGUAGUCUUAACUAUAAACUAUGCCGACUAGGGAUCGGACGAUGUUAUUUAUUGACUCGUUCGGCACCUU